RNAcentral lists this ribosomal RNA (484 nucleotides) under Bacillus sp. (in: firmicutes). RNAcentral describes it as "Bacillus sp. (in: Bacteria) partial 16S ribosomal RNA". It matches the Rfam family "Bacterial small subunit ribosomal RNA", at positions 407 to 873 of the family's 1533-position model. The record is from RNAcentral. Lineage: Bacteria; Bacillati; Bacillota; Bacilli; Caryophanales; Bacillaceae.
GAAGAAGUUUUUCGUGUCGUAAAUCUCUUUUUUUAGGGAAGCACAAGUUAGUUAAUUUAUCUUUCUCCUUUGAUGUUACUUACCCAGAAAGCCAGGGUUAACUACGUGCCACCACCCGCGUUAUUACGUAGGUGCCAAGCUUUUUCCGGAUUUUUUGGGGGUAAAGGGCGCCCAGGCGGUUUUUUAAUUUGGAUGGGAAAGCCCCCGGUUCAACCGGGGAGGGUCUUUGGAACCUGGGGAACUGGAGUGCAAAAGGGAAAAGGGGAAUUCCAAGUUAAGCGUGGAAAGGCGUAGAGAUGUGGAGGAACACCAGUGGCGAAGGCGGCUUCUUGGUUUGUAUCUGACGCUGAGGCUCGAAACCUUGGGGAGCAAACAGGAUAAGAUAUCCUGUUAUUUCAGUCCGUAAACGAUUAAAGGGUAAGUUUUAGAGGGUUUCCGCCCUUUUAGUGCUGCUAGCUAAGGCCAUUAACCCCAUUUCCCCCCC